RNAcentral lists this unclassified non-coding RNA (466 nucleotides) under Hevea brasiliensis (rubber tree). Lineage: Eukaryota; Viridiplantae; Streptophyta; Magnoliopsida; Malpighiales; Euphorbiaceae. The record is from RNAcentral.
GCGAGUGUUGUUUUCCCGCUCGCAUCACCUUCACUGACACUCAGUUUCUCAAUUAGUCCUGCAGCAGCAGAAGCAUCUUUGCUCUCCUUCUCUUCAGUAUUCCCACCAGAAACAUUUUCGAACAAGUCCAUGAACUUCUUGCAGUUCUCAAUGGAUCCAAACCGAAUGCAAAACGUCUCAGCUUUCAACUCCCCAUCAGAAUAAUCAGCUGCAUGCCACACACACGACUUCUCAUUCCCGGCGUGCUCCUGCAACUUGAUCGAUGGAGUAACGAAAUGGUUGGCAACGAUCUUGAGCGUCUUGCUCUGCCGCAUAACAAGCCUGACCUUCCCAGUCUCCAUGUGCUUCAGCAGCUUCACGCUGCCGGUCCCCCGCUCCUUCCACUGGUUGCUCUCACUAUCAAACCGGUACAGCUUCGCCUUCAGAUCGAGGAGCACAUCCUCGUCCUCCUCGCCAGUGGUGACGA